RNAcentral lists this long non-coding RNA (2326 nucleotides) under Sus scrofa (pig). Its description in RNAcentral is "lncRNA (ENSSSCG00030021199.1)". The record is from RNAcentral. Lineage: Eukaryota; Metazoa; Chordata; Mammalia; Artiodactyla; Suidae.
GGGGAAAUUUAAAGUAUUGCUAAUGCCUAUAUUUUGUUUUCAAUAAAUUUUUACUUGAGUGGCUUCAGCAUCAUGCCAUGGAGAGCCUAACCUUUGAGCAGGAUCACCAAAAAAUAAUCCUUACCUUUUUUUUUCUUUUUCUUUCUUUCUUUUUUUUUUUUUUACAAAUACUUAAUGAUUUGACUACAGAAGCAGAGGUCCAUAAAAAUAUGGACUAUUGUGAAUAUGUAUGAUGUGCUGGUGUGGCUGUUUUUGUAUACGUUUUUGCAGUGUAAUGGUCCCCCAAGUAUAGAGUAUAUUAUGAACAGUAUUCAGAAAUUAUAUAUGAAAAACUAAGUCUUGAAUAGUUUAAGUAAAUGGUUCAGUGUCACACAGUUAAUAAGUAGAAGAAUUGAGGUGUGAACUCAGUAUUUUAUUCUCAUUUCAACUUCAUAUUCUUUCCACUUGGCUAUGCUAUCUCAUAGUAUAUGAUAUAGUAUAGUAUUAUCAUAGUAUAAGUCUUAGUUUGUAUUCACUGUAAAAUUAUUAUAGUUAAGAUACUAUGCUACUUGCAGUAGGGGCGGGUCACCAAAGAAUAUGAGCUCACCCAGCCUUUACAAAGAUUUUGAAAUUCACAGUAAAGCACGCACACAUACACAUACACACACAUCCAAAAUACAAUAUAUAAUAAAAAAAAAUCUUCCAUAAUGAAAUGGAAUAUAUAUCAAAUCAGGACAAAUUUAGGUAGGUAUGACAUUAAAAAUACAUUUAUUUGGUCUCUGUAUCUGGACUCAACACAGAGUUCCUAAAACCUUUGAAAUUUCCUGAGUGAUGGGGUAGUAGAAGCAUCUUAAAUAAACUUCCUGUAUUGGAAUUUCAUGCCUGAUAGGAGCAUCUUUUGUUCUAAUGAGGUGACCCUUGGUGAGCUCCUGAAUAGCUUCAGGAUGGGGGCUGGUCACUAGAAAGAUCAAGUCAUAAUUUGAAGCUUGGAAUAUUUAGAUCCAUACCCCACCCCCAUCCUCUGAGAACUGAGUUAAUAAUGACUAUGUGAUGUUUCCAUUGUGGCUCAAUGGCAACAAACCUGACUAGUAUCCAUGAGGAUGCAGGUUUAAUCGCUGACCCCUGCUCAGUGGGUUAAGGAUCCGACAUUGCUGUGAGCUGUGGUAUAGGUCACAGAUGCAGCUGGAAUCUGGCGUUGCUGUGGCUGUGGAUUGGAUUCAACCCCUGGCCUGGGCACUUCCAUAUACAGCACCUGCGGCCCUAAAAAAAUAAUAGUAUUGGCUACAUGAAAAAUCUCUAAUUAUAGCAGUUAGGAAACUUCCGUUGGUGAAACCUGGAAAGAUGGCACACUCCUCCUCUGCAGUGACGGAAGUUCCUCCACUCAAAACCCUUCUUGACCUCACUGUAUAUAGCCCUUCAUUGGGUAUUUAACUGUAUUCUUUAAAUAUUUUAUACAAAAUCAAAAAACAUAGGUGAGUUUCCUAUUUCUUAAGUUUUGUGAGUCAUUAUGGCAAAUUAUUAAAUGUGAGGAGGAAUUGGUGGGAACCCCUGAUUUAUAGCCAAGUCAGCCAGAAGUGUGGUUACCAUGGGGACCUGCUAUUUGCCAUUGGCAUUUGAAGUGGAGGGCAGUUUUGUAGGAUUGAGCCCUUAACCUGUGGGGUCUGUGCCAGCUCCAAGUGGUUAAUGUUAGAAUUAAUUUAAAUAGUAGGAUACCCUGUUGACAGAGAAUCAAAGAAUUACUUCUGUGGAAAAUUCAUACAUUUUGUUUUAGAAUUAUUGUAAGAAGAAAAAAUAUUUUCUUUUAGUAGGAGUCUAAGUUUGACCUAUAACUUGAAAAAUAGGCAAGGUUUUAAUAAAACAGAGUACUGAAACUUAUGCACACAGGUCCAGACAUGGGAAAACUCUAGGCAUAUUUAGAUGAUAACAAAUUGAACAAGCAUUUAUGAUAUAGAGGAAUUGGGUGGAUGUAUAGGAAAUGAGUUAGGAAAAUAAGUGCUAUAGAAUAAGUUCUGGAUAAAGCAUUUCUUUUUUUUCUUUUCUUUNUUUGUCUUUUUGUCCUUUUUAGGGCCACACUCACAGCAUAUGGAGAUUCCCAGGCUAGGGGGUCUAAUCGGAGAUGUAGCUGCCAGCCUAUGCCAGAGCCGCAGCAACGCAAGAUCUGAGCCAUGUCUGCGACCUACACCACAGCUCACAGCUAUGCCAAAUCCUUAACCCACUGAGCGAGGCCAGGAUUCAAACCCACAACCUCAUGGUUCCUAGUCGGAUUAAUUUCCUCUGCGCCACAACAGGAAUUCCGAACAUUUCAAUUAAAUUCUUAAAAAUAUAAAAAGAGCUAGCAUAGACAAUU